Mercenaria mercenaria is the source of this 795-nucleotide long non-coding RNA. RefSeq lists it as uncharacterized. The transcript is spliced from 4 exons. The record is from RefSeq and is a predicted model, not a curated record. Lineage: Eukaryota; Metazoa; Mollusca; Bivalvia; Venerida; Veneridae.
AAUUUCAAUACGUGGCGAAUCUUUACAGAGUAUAGACGUUUAUUUUAUUAUAAUAUAGCAGCAAUCGGACACUUUAAAUUUAUUUUAAUUGUAAUUUCUCUGCUUAUAUUCUCAGUCUUUUGAUAUUUUGGAAUAUACUUUGUCUUAUUUUCCACUGGUGAAUUGAAUAGAGUUUUCAUAAAUAAAAUUUUAGAAAAGAAAAAAAAACUGAUUAAAUUCGUUUUCUUUUUCCUAGGGAUCAACACUGCCUAUAUCUUGUGGUUAUUGCUUGUAAUUAAUGAUGGGACGUGUAUCUGUCUCUGGCCAUCAUUCAAACAGUUUCGGCGACGGCUAAAAGUUGUAAAGGAAAAAAUUGGUUUGAAGUAUGCGGUGAGAAUAAAAUGUGUAUUUGCCCUAGCUAUCUUGGACCGACAGUCUUAAAUCCUGGUAAUCCACUGAAAGCGUGUGACAAAGGUCAGCUGGUUUGCAGAUUCUGGCCAUGCUGGUUUUGGCUUGAUUUCGCUAUCCCUCAACAAGCAAGGAGGGGACCAAAAGGAGAAUUCAUUAGAUGCAGUUCUGACGACCAAUGUACGAAAGGGAGUGACCGUUGUACACCUGACGGAUAUUGCUGCACCGACACACCAAUAUGGCCACCUAAAUAAUGUUAACAUAUCAAAGAUUUCAACGUAGACGAUCGGAAUUACAAACUUCUUGCUAUGACUAUUUAAUAGAUAUUUUAGCCUUAAUCUAUAAGACAUCAAUAAAUAAUCUCCUUGAUAUAACAUUAUGACCUUAAUAAAAUUACCUAGCAUCUUA